GGCAAAGGAAGUCAAAGCAAUGUCACAGGAAGAUAUCUUGGCUUUUGAGAAAGUGGGAGAAGUCACAAUUGCAACUCAUUGUUUAAGGUUAUCUGAUAUAAAGGUUGUCCGGGAUUUCAGACGGCCUGAUGGUAUGACGGACAAGGAAAUUGAUGCUGCUGGUGAUGGUGAUGUACUAGUGAUUUUGGAUUUACGACCGGAUGACUCUCUAUUUGAGGCUGGUGUUGCUCGUGAGAUUGUUAAUAGAAUCCAGAAGUUGAGGAAGAAAGCUGCCCUUGAACCUACUGACACGGUAGAGGUGUAUUUUCAAUCCCUGGAUGAGGAUACAUCAGUAGCGCAGAGAGUUUUACGUGCACAGGAACUAUACAUAAGUGAGGCAAUCGGUU
This 386-nucleotide unclassified non-coding RNA is filed under the name Hevea brasiliensis (rubber tree). The record is from RNAcentral. Lineage: Eukaryota; Viridiplantae; Streptophyta; Magnoliopsida; Malpighiales; Euphorbiaceae.